GAUGAACGCUGACAGAAUGCUUAACACAUGCAAGUCAACUUGAACUUCGGUUUGGGUGGCGGACGGGUGAGUAACGCGUAAAGAACUUGCCUCACAGAUAGGGACAACAUUUGGAAACGAAUGCUAAUACCUGAUAUUAUGAUUAUAUGGCAUCGUAUAAUUAUGAAAGCUAUAUGCGCUGUGAGAGAGCUUUGCGUCCCAUUAGCUAGUUGGAGAGGUAACGGCUCACCAAGGCGAUGAUGGGUAGCCGGCCUGAGAGGGUGAUCGGCCACAAGGGGACGGAGACACGGCCCUUACUCCUACGGGAGGCAGCAGUGGGGAAUAUUGGACAAUGGACCAAGAGUCUGAUCCAGCAAUUCUGUGUGCAAGAUGAAGUUUUUCGGAAUGUAAAGUGCUUUCAGUUGGGAAGAAAAAAAUGACGGUACCAACAGAAGAAGUGACGGCUAAAUACGUG
This 454-nucleotide ribosomal RNA is filed under the name uncultured bacterium. RNAcentral's name for it is "partial 16S ribosomal RNA". It matches the Rfam family "Bacterial small subunit ribosomal RNA", at positions 28 to 507 of the family's 1533-position model. The record is from RNAcentral.